RNAcentral lists this ribosomal RNA (468 nucleotides) under uncultured bacterium. RNAcentral describes it as "partial 16S ribosomal RNA". It matches the Rfam family "Bacterial small subunit ribosomal RNA", at positions 28 to 507 of the family's 1533-position model. The record is from RNAcentral.
GACGAACGCUGGCGGCGUGCUUAACACAUGCAAGUCGAACGAUGAUGCCAGCUUGCUGGUGGAUUAGUGGCGAACGGGUGAGUAACACGUGAGCAACCUUCCCCUGACUUCGGGAUAACCGCGGGAAACCGUGGCUAAUACCGGAUAUGACGCGCUAUCGCAUGGUGGUGUGUGGAAAGAUUUAUCGGGUGGGGAUGGGCUCGCGGCCUAUCAGCUUGUUGGUGGGGUGAUGGCCUACCAAGGCGACGACGGGUAGCCGGCCUGAGAGGGUGACCGGCCACACUGGGGAUGAGACACGGACCAGACACCUACGGGAGGCAGCAGUGGGGAGUAUGGCACAAGGGGCGCAAGCCUGAUGCAGCGACGCCGCGUGAGGGAUGACGGCCUUCGGGUUGUAAACCUCUUUCAGUAGGGAAGAAGGCCUUCGGGUUGACGGUACCUGCAGAAGAAGCGCCGGCUAACUACGUG